UAAUUGGCUUGUAUCAUAAGAGCAGAGGAAGUCAAAUGCCUUCAGCUUUUAGCUUAGACACAUGCAAGAUUCUGGAAUGACUUCGUAGGUAAAAAUGUUUAAUAAACUGAAAGCAAAAAUCACCAAAAUAGUGCCAAGUUCAUCAGAGGGAAAAGUGAAUGAUGCUCCAACCUCUCCAAAACCUUCAUCUCCACCUCAGCCACCACCAGGGCAGGAAGAAAGUAAGAAGAAAACGGAAGAAAAUAAGGGCACAGGUAAUGCCCAGCCCCUGAAAGAAGACACAGAAAAUACUAACCAGCCUGAGCCAAAGCAACAAGAUGGAGCAAACCCAUCAGAAAAAGAACCUGAGCCCCCUCAGGCUGCCCAAUCAGCAGAACCUGCUGGGGCAACAACAAAGGAAGAGGUGCCUCCAGGGAAGGAGAAGGAAGAGACAGCAGAGUGAGUAUCAUUCAGUAUUGUUUAUUAUGAUUAUGAU
RNAcentral lists this long non-coding RNA (475 nucleotides) under Pogona vitticeps (central bearded dragon). RNAcentral describes it as "lncRNA (ENSPVIG00000009769.1)". The record is from RNAcentral. Lineage: Eukaryota; Metazoa; Chordata; Lepidosauria; Squamata; Agamidae.